Molecule: ribosomal RNA, 253 nt
Filed under: uncultured bacterium
Lineage: Bacteria
Description: partial 16S ribosomal RNA
Rfam family: Bacterial small subunit ribosomal RNA
Source: RNAcentral
UACGGAGGGUGCAAACGUUGCUCGGAAUCAUUGGGCGUAAAGCGCACGUAGGCGGCUCGUUAAGUCGGAUGUGAAAGCCCUGGGCUCAACCCAGGAAGUGCAUACGAAACUGGCGAGCUUGAGUAUGGAAGAGGGUCGCGGAAUUCCCGGUGUAGAGGUGAAAUUCGUAGAUAUCGGGAGGAACACCAGUGGCGAAGGCGGCGACCUGGGCCAAUACUGACGCUGAGGAGCGAAAGCGUGGGGAGCGAACAGG